UGGAGGUUCACGUUAGAAGGUUGUGUGUUCUGAACAAAGGAAUGAAUGUCUGUUGAAGAUUUUAUAUGGUGUGAAUCCAAGCCACAAAGCUGAGCUGGGAUCCAAUUAGCUUCAAUAGCAACAAAUCUGAUUUGAAGUCAAAGAUGAACCUGUGGUUUUCAUCAAAGGUAACUUACUUUAACCAGGAACACAGAAAACAUGGAGGGUGAGCUCAGCUUGCACCUAAUGAGUUUAUACUCAGAGAAUAUUACAAUCUAAAUUUAUAUACACGUCAUUUGCUUUUACGCAAUCCUCUAAGACAGUGGUCCUCAACAUUGACUGCACACUAGAAUCAUGCUAGGGCAGUGCUGCUCAAAUUUUACUGUGCGUAGGCACCAUCUGGGGAUCUUGUUCCAAUUCAGCAGGUCUGGAAUGGAACCUGAGUCUACAUUUCUAACAAGUUUCCAAAUGAUCCCCAUGUAGUGGUCCUCAGACCACAACCUACAUAGUAUAUCAAGAACCUAGAGAACUUUUAAAUAUAGUUUUCUGGAUCCUACUCCUGAAAGAUUUUUAAUUAUCUGGAGAUACAACCUGGGCAUUUAUAUUUGUAAUCGCUUCCCUGGUGUCUCUAAUGCCCACCUAAUGUGCCAUGCUAAGUCAUUAUUUAUAUUUUACGAGUGGGGGACGGGGUCCCAGUUCUAGCUAAGAUGGAGAAAGCACACUCCACCCUAUCUUGUCCAUUGAUUAUUACUAAAAAUCCUGGAAAGAAUACAUAAAGCAAAUAUACAAGGACUCUGAAAAGUAAUUUGAAGCAAGCAGACUGGCGAGAGAAAUCAAAACUCAAAACAGUAGUGAGUUUCCUGGUUUUUUUCUCCCACAUAUGUCAGCUUAGACUUGAGGACAGCCCAAAUCUCAUUAACUGUGCAGUGAGUGAAGACAGAGAAAAGUUCCAAGAGAAACUCCUUCUGGCUAGAGAACUAGAAAAGAUGAUGAAUGGGAGAGGGACAAUGGGGAGGGGUGGAUAUCUGGUAAUUUUUCUUCUCUCUCAGCUCUGCCUCAAAGCAAGCCCCAAUCCUGAGUCUGCACACCUGUGGCUGGUAGCUGUCUCCUAAACUCUAAAAGAGAGUUCUUCUGACAAAAGAACUAGGAAAAAGACGAUGAUCGGAAGAGUAUGGAAGAGGGAAUUCAUUUUAUUUUUUUCUCUAACUUUUCUCUCUCUCCAUUUUGUUCAGGAAAUGAGCCCCUCUACAGAAAACGUAUGAAAAGCACAAAGAAGCUAAAAUUCCAGUUUUCUCACCAAAGAACCACGAAAAGAAACUCUUGGGAGCUUGUGUACAAGGGAAGUCACGGAGAGAAGAAACGUCCUCUAAAUUUGUGUAUACAAUCUCAAGUUUACCACCAACAUGCCCAUGUGUGAACUGACCCAAGGCGGCAGAGGAAAGGCGCUGAGAACUGCACAAUGGCAUGGAUGGCACACCUGGGACCUGAACAGCAAUACGAAGGUUUUGAAAAAAUUCAAAUACUGAAGACUUGUGUGUGCCACAGACCUAAAUCUCAAGGUGACUAGUCUUCAGAAGACCAGGCUCUACUUCUACUUCUCCAGGCAUCAAAGGGAAAAAAGGAGUUUCUAGGCAACCCAUUCAGAACAAAGAAUACGUACACAAUGAAAUAGAU
RNAcentral lists this long non-coding RNA (1653 nucleotides) under Homo sapiens (human). Its description in RNAcentral is "HSALNT0087239". Lineage: Eukaryota; Metazoa; Chordata; Mammalia; Primates; Hominidae. The record is from RNAcentral.